Molecule: non-coding RNA, 384 nt
Organism: Schizosaccharomyces pombe (fission yeast)
Lineage: Eukaryota; Fungi; Ascomycota; Schizosaccharomycetes; Schizosaccharomycetales; Schizosaccharomycetaceae
Source: the annotation of a GenBank genome assembly
AGCAUUAGUACAUUUCUAUAUCAGUCAAAGAAUUUCAAUUUUACGAACAUCAUCAAAAUUCGCACCACAGAACGCUGUAAGACUGGUUUUUUGUAAUUUUUCAAAUGAGUAAUGAUAGAAAUACAUGAUAGCACUAAAGCAAUGGCUACGAAGAAGCCGCAUAAUGCGACUAUUUCGUUGUCCAUGAAAUUAGAGCUGAUCGUGAUGAAGGGACAAAAAUGCAGGCAAGGUGGCUACCACAAGCUAUAAGGGGGCCUUCUCCAAUUCCAAACAGAUACUACCUACUACGGGCUUUACGGUGUUUGUACGCAUAAGCUAUAGAUAAAGUACCGAAACUUUGUGAUGUGGAAGAGUUCAUCGAAGCUAAUAUUGAUUUACCUCUUU